GCAAGCCUGAUGCAGCCAUGCCGCGUGUGUGAAGAAGGCCCUAGGGUUGUAAAGCACUUUCAGCGAGGAGGAAAGGUUAUAGUUUAAUAGACUAUAGCUGUGACGUUACUCGCAGAAGAAGCACCGGCUAACUUCGUGCCAGCAGCCGCGGUAAUACGAGGGGUGCAAGCGUUAAUCGGAAUUACUGGGCGUAAAGCGUACGCAGGCGGUUUGUUAAGCGAGAUGUGAAAGCCCCGGGCUCAACCUGGGAACUGCAUUUCGAACUGGCAGACUAGAGUAUGAUAGAGGGUGGUAGAAUUUCAGGUGUAGCGGUGAAAUGCGUAGAGAUCUGAAGGAAUACCGAUGGCGAAGGCAGCCACCUGGGUCAAUACUGACGCUCAUGUACGAAAGCGUGGGGAGCAACGGGAUUAGAUACCCCGGUAGUCCACGCCGUAAACGAUGUCUACUAGGAGCUGGAAUUCUUCGAAUGACUUUUCCAAGCUAACGUAGUGAGGUGGCCGUCCGGGGAGGAGGCCGCAAGGUCGAAACUCACGUGAAU
RNAcentral lists this ribosomal RNA (538 nucleotides) under uncultured bacterium. RNAcentral's name for it is "bacterial SSU rRNA". It matches the Rfam family "Bacterial small subunit ribosomal RNA", at positions 377 to 910 of the family's 1533-position model. The record is from RNAcentral.